Long non-coding RNA from Triplophysa rosa, 2819 nucleotides. RefSeq lists it as uncharacterized. The record is from RefSeq and is a predicted model, not a curated record. NCBI's taxonomy places the organism in Eukaryota, Metazoa, Chordata, Actinopteri, Cypriniformes, Nemacheilidae. The transcript has 3 exons.
UGUCAACUUUUUUAUUAUGAGCAAUGGGUCAUUUUUCACUUGCAUCAUACCAUUUCAGUUUAUUUAGAUCAUAUCCUUUAUUAGAUAAACCAAUAAAAAUGUAUUUAGUGUAAACAUAAUCUGAAAAGCAGCUUUGACACUCAAAACAGAAUUCAGAGCUCAUUUACCGUAUUCCUCAAUCAGAUCAAAUUGGUGCAAGAAAGAGAAAUAACCAGAACUAUCAAAUUUAACAAAGUUUAUUUUUUACAUAUCGCUGCUGUCCUUCUGAAAACUUGUGUUUCCAUAUUUUCUGAUUUUUCUUUUUUUGCCAUGAAUCAUUAUUAUUAGUCACCCUUUAUAUUUGUCAUUGGGCUUUGCAAAUAACUAACCAAUAAGCAGUGCUUGUCAACAUGGACAAAGUAUGUAAUAAUUUAAAAAGUUUUUUCCUGAAACAGAGCGAAUUUGGACAUUCAAAGUUUCAGAAGGACAGCGACGAUAUGUUUAUUGUCUUAUUUUGCAUGAUUGACUGGUGGAUAUCAUCCCAAAUUCAUUUUCUAAAUGUAAUGACAUAAAAUAAUUUUCUUUCUUGGCAUGCUAUCGUAAUUUUCAUCACCUCGUCUUAAACCUUGUGACACUAUAGGGUAUGUACAGUUUGACAAUCACUUCAUGAAUAAUAUAAGAAUGCAGCGGCAAGAGUGGUCUUCAAUGAACCGAAGAGAGCGCACGUCACUCCUCUCUCCACUAAGUUACAUUGGCUCCCUAUAGUCGCUCGAAUCAAAUUCAAGACUCUUACCUUCACCCCCUUACCUUCACUCGCUAAUGCAGACUUAUAUACCCGCCAGAUCCCUACGCUCUGCAAACGAACGUCUUGUGGUGCCAUCCCAAAAAGGUAAAAAAUCUCUCUCACGUACCUUCUCGGGAUCGGUUCCACAUUUAUGGAAUGAUCUGCCCGCUGCUACAAUAUUAGCAGAUUCUGUGGCCAUCUUUAAGAACCGUCUGAAAACACAUCUCUUCCGUCAACACCUGACUGAUCAGUUCUGACUGAAAAAACUUUUCUCUGUAUACUGUGGUAGGCUAUAUGAGACCAGUUUUCUUUUAUUGCACUUAUGCUUUUUGUUGUCCUUAUGUUGUUCCAAUUGCUUCCAUUGUUUCCCUCAUCUGUAAGUCGCUUUGGAUAAAAGCGUCUGCUAAAUGACUAAAUGUAAAUAUAAUUAAUUUCUACCCGGCAAUAUUCUUAUUUUCUAGUUAUUGAAUUUAAACAAAAAUCGGUUCAAAUGAACCAUCAGUUCAAAGCUUUUUAACCCCUAUCUGUUUUUCCAUCUGUUUGUUAACAAAGUCAUAUUAAGACUAAAUCAGGAAUACUGUCCAAGACAACAGAUCAGUUCAACAGCGACUGAAAAACCAGACACUUCUUGAAAUUAAUUGCGAUCCACUAACAAGAAAAUGAACCGAACAAGACUGUCCCAGCCUAAGAAGCACCUCAUCACGCGUGUUGACGUUGCCAUGGUGACAAAUGGAGGACAAGGAGCUCAGGAGAUGCAAAUGCCGACACUGUGCGUCUGAAGAGGUUUCCCACGCUUUCAUUUGUUACUCUUCAAUCAGACGUGAACAUGCGGUGAGCAUAUACACACACAUACAGUAUAUCAUAUCACAUACAUGUAGAUAGCUGUAUAUCAUAGGACAUCUCACAAACACAUUGUUCUAAAGCUGAAAAUGAGUGUAUUUGGGUUUAGCCUGUGUAACUUAAAUGAUAACAAACCCUUAUCUUUAUAAGGUGUUAUACAUUAUUUUGAUCUAUUGUUGUGAAUGCGAACUAUUAAAUAUUACACACUAAGUUGUAAUUGCAAACAAAAAAGUAAAAUCCAAAUAAAAAGGACGUUUGAAGAAAUGAAAUGUGCAUAUGUAUCUUUCGAGCACAGCUGAGCUUUAUGUGAGCGCUCCAGGUGACCAUCUAGAUGUGCCCUAAAUCAAACACAGCAUUCAAGCAAACACGUAUGAAUCUCGCGUAGUCUUGCUACGUAUAUCUGACUUAUCUUAAAGGGAUAGUUCACCCAAAAAAGAACAUUCUGCUAUCAUUUACUCGUCCUCUUGUCAUUGCAAAUGAUGUAUGUAUGUAUGACUCUCUUUCCUCUGUAGAACACAAAAGAAGAUAUUUUGAAGUUGUUGGUAACCGAACAGCCCCGGCACCCAUUCACUUCGAUUGUAUGGACACAAAACCAAUGCAAGUGAAUGUGUGCUGGUUUACAACAUUCUUCAAAAGAUCUUUUUUUGUGUUCUGUGGAAAAAAGAAAGUCAGGUUUGAAAUGACAAAAGAGUGAGUAAAUAAUGAUAGAAUUUUUUUUUUGUUUAAUUGUAAUGUUUAUGUAGGAAUGUUAAUUUAGUUGUAUCUGCUUAAAGGUAAAACUGUAUCAUUGUGGUAUUAUUUUGUAUCAUCUUUUCAUCUCUUGAGUGGCACCAUGACUGUGUGAUGUUACACACUUUACAGUUAAAGUACAGUACAGUGUCAUGGCUCUGCUUCAUUUAGUCAUGUUUUUCUUGGUCCUGUAGCAGAGUCAUGACAAAGCCUUUGGUUAUGUGUGGAGAGAAACAUAUUAUUGUCCUUUUGACAAUAAUAUACGUUCUCUCCAGUGUCUCGUCUCUGUUACCGCCAUCUCGUUUCCUCGUUAUCUUAAGUGUUUAAUUAAUUAAUUAAACCCUCGUUAUCCUGAGUGUUUAAUUACCCACACCUGCCCCGUGUCGUUAUCCUUUGUCUGUCUUCCCUAUAUAAUACCCUCAUGUUUCAUUGUCCUGUGUCGGUCAUUACGUAUGUUAUGUGCUGCUUCGUGUCAUCGUCUUGCCUU